Molecule: ribosomal RNA, 253 nt
Filed under: uncultured bacterium
Lineage: Bacteria
Description: partial 16S ribosomal RNA
Rfam family: Bacterial small subunit ribosomal RNA
Source: RNAcentral
UACAGAGGGCGCAAGCGUUAUUCGGACUUACUCGGCGUUACGGGCGGGUAGGCGGCCUCGAAAGUCUGAUGUGCAAGCCCUGGACCCAAUCCAGGAAGUGCAUCGGAAACUGCGGGGCUCGAGUGCAGGAGAGGAGGACGGAAAUCCUGGUGUAGAGGUGAAAUUCGUAGAUAUCAGGAGGAACAACAGUGGCGAAGGCGGUUCUCUGGCCUGUAACUGAAGCUGAGGCGCGAAAGAUGGGGGAGCAAACAGG